GUGCUCACUAUAGCAGUACAUGUACUAAAAUUACAAUGAUACCAAGAAGAUAGGUAUGGCCUCUGCAAAGGAAGAAAAGGAAAUUCCUGAAUAUAUAUAUAUAUAU
Small nuclear RNA from Peromyscus maniculatus bairdii (prairie deer mouse), 106 nucleotides. Lineage: Eukaryota; Metazoa; Chordata; Mammalia; Rodentia; Cricetidae. The record is from Ensembl.